AUUGGUUCGGUGGCGAGUCUGCCCACGGAGCGGGGUGGCUUCACGGCGGAGGGUGACGGCCGGCGAGCAGUUCCCGCCGUUCUGGUGCCAGUCUCCACGGUCCGAGCGCGCGUACGGAUUCUCCGCGGUCUUCUCACCGGCGAGCGAUUCGUCGCCCCCCCCCCCGGUCACGCCUCGCAUGAGGUGGCCACUAGCACCAUGAGGGGAAUACGACGAAGCUCCUAGGCCAGCAGUUGGGGUAAGGCCGAUGAUUCAGCCUGGAGCUGGCCACGACGUUCUCUCACCCUCCCACUCAUUUCUCUGAUUCUCCUCCCUGAGCGGCGACAAGUCUUAGUGGCGCGACUGGUGGUGGCCAUGGACUAGCGGCCAGUGCCUUAGGUACUGUGUGGUGGAGACAAAGGAGAGCGCAGGACCUGGCCAGAAAGCACGCCGAGGUCAAAUCGACGGCGGCAUCUUGCUCAUGGCUCCAUGGGAGAGGGUGUCGGCCACAGGGCUGUGAGUGGCGGUAAGGGAGACGAGGGCUUCUAGAAGAUGGAGGCUGGGGAUUGGAGGUUCCUGCCUUUAUCGCCCCCUCCCAAACUCGGUUGGUUAGCGAGGACCUCGGACGAGCAGCAACGGCCGCGCAUAGUUCGCAAUUCUGUUGAAGAGGUGGCUAAGCAGGCCGGAGGUGAUAGACCCGACGAGUGGCCCCGGUGCCAGUGUUGCAACAGACCCCGCACUGGUAUUCCAGUUGAAUGCGACAGUAGAAUAUGGCCCAGGGAACACGAUAGAACACAUACGUGCUGGUUUCUUUGCUUGCUUGAUGUCAUCAUGACAUUAAGAUGAUGUCAUCCGCGGCAAGAGAAUAAAAUAAAGGAGAAAUGGACGUGUGGGCUUGUGGUAUUUACGUGUGGAAUGAGAUGGGCCAAGCAAGAUUUGGCCCAAACGCUGGUGGUUCUUUUCAUUUUAAUUUCCUUCUUUACUUUUCUCUAUUUCUUUUUCUUUUAUGUUUUAUUUUCUGUUUUAUUUUAUUCCUAAUUAUUUUGAUUCAAAUUUGAAUUUGAAUAUGAGUUCCUCCUUUGAACCAUUUAUACAAAUUCAAACCUUAAUGUAGAAAUAUAUUUUUAUUUCCUUAUUUUUAUUUAAAUACCAUUUGUUUUGCUUUUCCUUUCUAAAUUCUACAAUUCCUUUUUAAUUUUAAAUUCCACUUUGGACUUUAAUAUAUUUCUUGUCACAUUUUUUUAUCUUGUCAUAAUAUGCACACACAAAAAUAAUAUCCAGCAUGAUGCAUAAUUUAAGGGCAUAUAUUCUUUUAUUAGUUAUUUGUUUUUUUUUGAAUAUGGUGUUCGCAUGUGAUGAUAAGUAGAUUCAACAUACACAUAAAAUAUAGGAAAAUAACUUUCCUCCUCUUUUAUUAUCUAUUACAAAUUGGGUAUUACAAAUCCUACCCCCUUAAAAAUAAUCUCGUCCUCGAGAUUUAGGAAGAACGAGGGAAAAGAUGGGGAAAUCUAUGCGAAGCUCUUCUUCUCUUUCCCAUGUAGCUUCGUCUUCUCCGAGGUGACUCCAUUGAACUUUACACAUUUUUAUCUCCUUAUUUCUUGUAACUCGAGUUAAAGUAUCCAAAAUCUUGAUUGGGUACUCCGUGUAAGUCAACUCACCCUGAACACCGAGCUCUUCCAUUGGUAACUGUUCCUCAGGGACAUGGAGACACUUCUUAAGUUGAGACACAUGAAAUACAUUAUGCACAUCAGAUAGACUAGCAGGUAACUCAAGUUGGUAGGCCAUCUCUCCAACUCUCCUAAAGAUCAAGAAUGGUCCAAUAUAGCAAGGGGACAAUUUUCCCUUAACUUUGAAUCUCCUCAUUCCACGAAGUGGUGACACCUUGAGAUACACAUAAUCUCCUUCUUCGAAUUCCAGUGGUCUUCUUCUAUUAUCAGCAUAACUCUUUUGCCUGGUUUGAGCCACCCUCAAAUUCUCUCGAAUUAUACGAACUUGUUCUUCUGCCUCUUGAAUCAGUUCAGGCCCAAAGAACUGUCUUUCUCCAGUCUGAUCCCAAUACAAAGGAGUCCUGCAUUUCCUGCCAUAUAGAGCUUCAAAUGGUGACAUCUUCAGACUGGCCUGAUAACUAUUAUUAUAUGAGAACUCAGCAUACGGUAGACUUUUAUCCCAACUUCCUCCAUGCCGAAGGGCACAAGCUCUCAACAUAUCUUCCAAUACUUGAUUAGUCCUUUCAGUCUGUCCAUCAGUCUGAGGGUGAUAAGCUGUACUGAAAUUCAACUUCGUACUCAUAUUCUCAUGAAAGCUUCUCCAAAAUCUUGAGGUAAACUGUGAACCUCGAUCAGACACGAUCUUCUUUGGUACUCCAUGUAAACACACAAUCCGAGCCAUAUAUAACUCUGCUAGCUGAGAACCUUUAUAAGUAGUCUUGACAGGAAUAAGGUGAGCCACUUUAGUCAAUAUAUCCACAAUCACCCAUAUAGCAUCAUAUCAUUUCUGGGUGCGAGGCAAUCCAGUAAUAAAAUCCAUACCAAUCUCUUCCCAUUUCCACUCGGGUAUCUUCAGUGGGUGCAAUAGUCCAGCUGGCCUCUGGUGUUCAGCCUUAACUCUUUGACGCACAUCGCACAUAGCCACAUGUGCAGCUACAUCUCUUUUCAAUCCAUACCACCAAUACUUCCGCUUCAAAUCCUGAUACAUCUUAGUACUACCAGGAUGAAUAGAAUAAUCCGAAUCAUGGGCCUCUUUCAAUAUAGUCUCUCGAAGGCUUUCAAUAUCAGGAACACACAUCCUGUCCUUGAACCAUACAGUGUCUUGCUCAUCUUCCGUGAAUUCUGGAACUCGACCUUCCAUAAUCAGAUCCUUAAUUUCUUGAAUCUUAGCGUCACCAACCUGACCUUUACGAAUCUCUUGCUCCAAGGUAGGUUCCAAUUCAAUGGUAACUCCUUCAGUGUGAGUAACAAUUCCCAGGUUGAGCCUCUCAAAAUCUUUGGCUAAUUCAUCGGGUAGCUGGACAACGAAAGCGGAGUGAACAUGCUCCUUCCGACUCAAGGCAUCUGCAACCAAAUUCGCCUUGCCCGAGUGAUAGUGAAUUUCCAAAUCUUAAUCCUUAAUAAGCUCCAACCAACGGCGUUGCCUAAGGUUGAGAUCCUUUUGAGUGAAUAUAUACUUCAGGCUCUUAUGAUCCGUAUAUACUUGGCACUUGGUUCCCAUAAUGUAAUGUCUCCAAAUCUUAAGAGCAUGCACAACUGCUGCUAAUUCCAAGUCAUGUGUGGGGUAGUUCAGUUCAUGUUUGCGUAACUGACGAGAAGCGUAGGCAAUCACAUGUCCUUCCUGCAUGAGCACACAUCCUAAGCCUUGGCCACAUGCAUCACAAUAGAUAUCAAAUCCUUUCUGUAAGUCCGGCAUAACCAAUACUGGUGGCGACAUCAAUCUUUUCUUCAAUUGAUCAAAGCUGUCUUGGCACUUCUCGUCCCACUUAAAUUCUCUUCCUUUCUCCAAAAGCGAAGUCAUAGCUUAGCAAUCUUAGAAAAUCCUUCAAUAAAUCUCCGAUAGUAUCCUGCAACUCCUAGGAAACUCCGAAUCUCAGUAACUAUAGUGGGUACUCUCCACUCCAUUAUCUCCUUAACCUUAGCAGGAUCCACUGAUAUUCCUCCAUUAGAAAUGAUAUGUCCAAGAAAUGGCACCUCGCCAAUCCAAAACUCACAUUUGCUAAACUUGGCGUAGAGUUGAUUGUCUCGUAGCUUCUGUAGCACCAAUCUCAGGUGUUCCUCAUGGUCACUUUCACUCUUAGAAUAGAUAAGAAUAUCGUCGAUAAAUACUACGACGAAUCUGUCCAAAUACUCCAUAAACACCUUAUUCAUCAAAUUCAUAAAAUAAGUUGGUGCAUUAGUUAAUCCAAACGACAUAACAGUGAACUCAUAUAAUCCAUAUCGAGUCGAGAAAGCUGUCUUGGGAAUAUCCGAUGGCCUAAUCUUCAUCUGAUGGUAUCCCGAUCGAAGAUCAAUUUUCGAGAAUACCCUUGCACCUCUCAUCUGAAUAAAUCCUCAAUGCGGGGUAAUGGACACUUGUUCUUCAUAGUGAAAUUGUUAAGGGACCUAUAAUCCACGCACAUACUUUGUGAUCCAUCUUUCUUCUGUACAAACAGAACCGGUGCUCCCCAAGUUGAAGAACUCGAACGAAUGUACCCAACCUCUUGUAAUUCCGUUAAUUGCUUCUUAAGUUCCUUUAGUUCUUCUACAGACCUCCUGUAUGGCCGUUUGAAAGUAGGGGUAGUCCCAGGUAAGGGAUCAAUGACAAACUCAACUUCCCUAUAUGGUGGCAUCCCUGGUAACUCUUCUGGGAAGACAUCCGAAAAAUCUCUAACCACACGGAUGUUGACACCAACAAACUUCCCAUCUACUAAGAAUGCUGCUAGUCUGGUGGCAGUAGUUACUGCAAUUCCAACUUCAAAUCUUUCUCCUUUGGAACUGGUGAGUUAUGUGGUUCCCUUAGCAACUAUCUUUGACUUUCUUAACCAUGACAUACCAAGGAUCAAGUCUAUACUGCUCUCUUCUAACAGUAUAGGGGUAAGAAAGGAAGAAUUGUAGACAAGGCGAGUAUUUAUGAGGAAUGUUACUGCGGGGGAUUUAUUAGCUAAGUAGAUUAGUGUGUUAUCCACUAAAGCUAAUACUUUACCUUAUGGUGGUACAUGCUAAGAUGUCCAUCUAUAAUAAUUCAAUCAAUCAAAGAAGCAAAUCAGGCAUUUAUCAUCAGCACAAUCAACCAAUCAUUUUUAAUUAAAGAAAAUAGUUUUAAAUUUUGUCUUAGGUUCCCUAUCUCUUAAAAAGAUCAUAGUGGUAGGAUUCCAAGGUGUGAAAUCCAUCUUGUCUUAGAGUAGAAAAGAUAAGAUUAAUCAGAGUAGAAUAGCAAAAGGUGAGACAAGAUCAAGAUGAGAUGAGUAUAAAAUGAGUCAGAGUAAGGUAAGUAGAAAAGGGUUUGUCCAUCUCUAUCUAGGUUUCGUCCUACAGUCAACAUUUCCUUUGAUACCACUUCUGUCACACCCGGCUUUAAGGAACAAAGCCAGGUGCAUCUCAUACAUGCGCCAAGAAGACAACAUAUAUAAUAACAGAGUGUAUAGAGAUAAAUGUCAUAAAACAUCAGAGUAUUUAUUACAUAGCGGAAGACUUAUUACAAAAUAAAAGAUAAAAGUAAAACGAACUAAGGAUCGUUGGCGCCAAUGUCAACUGAGAAACGCCACCUAGAUCAGAUCGAACACCUCGCCUUGUGGCUCCUCCUGAACCACCUGCUCUUCUCCUGUGGGGGGGUGUGAGUCAGCAAGAGUGAGCUCACACAUGAUCAUCGCUCAACAAGUUGUGGGGAAUAAUGUGACAUGAACUCACCAAAGGUGGGAGCUCAUGGAGUGUAAGGCUUAUCAAAGAGAAUGGUUAAAGCUGAGCAUUGCUUUUAAGUAGUUGGUCAAAAUUUUAUUAGCAAUUACUAAGUGUAAGUAAAUACCAAACCUUAAAUAAAGUAAUAGAACAAAUUAAUAAUAAACCCAUGCAUAUGCGAAUGACAAAUUGAAUUUAAGUUCCAUAAUUUAAUCAUCAGAGAGUCCUGAGCUGCUCAUGACCGUGAGCUCGGCUAGUAUACCAGUUUUACACUCUGCAGAGGUUGUACCCUUUACCCACAAGUCAUGCUACCCAUCUGCCAAGGGGUCGCGAAUCCCAUACACCUCUACCUAGGAAGCGCGGCAGGGCAACACUACGAGGCCUUUACAAAGUUCCACUAGCUUCCGAAAACCCGCUACAGUUUAUAGGAAGUUCCAAUGCAGGGUUCCUGGCUGACCGCCAUCGCAGCAAAAUCAACCAGGGACCUCCCUACACUGACCACUCCCCUACUGCCCUUGCCCCUUUCGGGUAAGGUAGUCUUCCACUAGCUUUCCUAAUUAGUCAGCCAAGGGCGUCCCAUUAAACCCUUGUGGUGGCACGUGGUUCUCAAGUUAAGCUCUAUGUUCCAAUUAACAUUAAUGGUCUCAACAUGAACAUAAAUAGAAUAACAAAAAGAAUUGGAACAUAGAGGUAAUAAAUGAUUAUCCCAAAACCAUAUAAAGCAAUAGCAAACUACCCAAGUGAUUCAGGGGUAAACAAGGUAAUGAGAUAAACAAAUCUAGGGUGACCUAUUGGGUCCCAUCAAAAUUAACCUAUGCAUGGAUAAGUGAUAUUAAAGAACAUUAUUGGGUAAAAAGUGGUCAAGGGCACAACUUGCCUGGCACUUGAGAUUCCAGGUACCAACUUGCUUUUCAGAUGACACGCAUCCUCGCGCUAGUCGUAGUAAUACAGACAAACAUGGCAUAGAUAAAAUUAACAUCACACCAAACAUAAUAACAAACUGAAUGAUAAUGAUCUACGCGCUGCUACGAGACUAACGCAACUUGAACGAGUCAAAUCGGAGUUAAAACGAAGGAGUUAUGAAUUUAUGAAGUUUUAAGUGUUGGAUAACAGAUUAAAUAGGAUAUUAAUUUUAAUAUGGCUUUCAUGUUAAAACAGUGCUACCAAGGGAUAAAAAUAAUUAAUACAAAAUUAUGGGAACUAGAAUGGGUUAAUUUGGACCACAUAUGAAUUUUCUAGGAAUAAAAUGAGUUUCUGGAAUUAUUUAUAUACUAGAAAUCAUUUUCUAUAAUUAUUUAUUUAUUUUCACUGCUCCCUGGAUCUCGCGCACAAAAACAGAGAACAGCAGGGUCUAACUCAUAAAAGUUCUUAAGACUCAGUGAACACCGCCAGAGGACGGCGGGUUGAUUUCUUAAAAAGUCGGGGUCUCUUUUACAAAAUCUGCUCAGCGAAGGGGUAGGUUCUAAUCUGGACCGUCCGAUCAAUAAUGUGUGGCGCAGAUUAGAUGUAACUCAAAUGAAACGGUAAGCGCUAUUAGCCGCGGGAUCCGAGAUCCACGGCCACGAUUUAAUGAAGCUAGAUCUAGUCUGAGCCGAGGGAUGGCAGAUCUACGGUGCCUGUUGAUCGCGCGAACGGGUAAGGGAAUACCUAAUCUCGAUCGCCCAUCAUCAGAUCAACGGCCAGUGGCCAUCAUCCACCUUCUGCACGCGGCCACGGCGGAUAGCGGCACCCAGUCACCGCGGCGCGCCCUGGCUAGUCUACUUCCCACCGACCUACGACGUGCGACUGAUCGAGACGCUAGGUGAUAAACAGAGCUAGGACGACGGUGAAGCCAGGCAGGAGGUCUGUACUCACGAUUGGUUCGGUGGCGAGUCUGCCCACGGAGCGGGGUGGCUUCACGGCGGAGGGUGACGGCCGGCGAGCAGUUCCCGCCGUUCUGGUGCCAGUCUCCACGGUCCGAGCGCGCGUACGGAUUCUCCGCGGUCUUCUCACCGGCGAGCGAUUCGUCGCCCCCCCCCCCCGGUCACGCCUCGCAUGAGGUGGCCACUAGCACCAUGAGGGGAAUACGACGAAGCUCCUAGGCCAGCAGUUGGGGUAAGGCCGAUGAUUCAGCCUGGAGCUGGCCACGACGUUCUCUCACCCUCCCACUCAUUUCUCUGAUUCUCCUCCCUGAGCGGCGACAAGUCUUAGUGGCGCGACUGGUGGUGGCCAUGGACUAGCGGCCAGUGCCUUAGGUACUGUGUGGUGGAGACAAAGGAGAGCGCAGGACCUGGCCAGAAAGCACGCCGAGGUCAAAUCGACGGCGGCAUCUUGCUCAUGGCUCCAUGGGAGAGGGUGUCGGCCACAGGGCUGUGAGUGGCGGUAAGGGAGACGAGGGCUUCUAGAAGAUGGAGGCUGGGGAUUGGAGGUUCCUGCCUUUAUCGCCCCCUCCCAAACUCGGUUGGUUAGCGA
This 7793-nucleotide long non-coding RNA is filed under the name Zea mays. Its description in RNAcentral is "long non-coding RNA (ZMAY_LNC003300)". Lineage: Eukaryota; Viridiplantae; Streptophyta; Magnoliopsida; Poales; Poaceae. The record is from RNAcentral.